Molecule: long non-coding RNA, 581 nt
Organism: Malaya genurostris
Lineage: Eukaryota; Metazoa; Arthropoda; Insecta; Diptera; Culicidae
Exons: 3
Source: RefSeq, a predicted model, not a curated record
UGAAUAUUCUGCUUCGGACGAAUGCGACAGCGCGAAGAAAGUUCCAAAAGGGAAGAUCAAAGAAUGAUCGCGAUCAUCGGGGCGGAAAUACUAACAGCCUUCUGGGAUUGCAAUGGUGUGGAUUUGCGGUGGCAUUUGAGAGGCUUUCAAGCGGUGCUACGGUGUGCGGUCGAGAUGCGUCGGCUGGUAACUUCAAACUUGACUUCAUUUAGGAGAACUGGCAAAGGUAAACUGAGAAACGGCCGAGAAGUUAUCGUGCAGGGCGGUAGUUGAAUUGGCGGAACGCGUGAGGGAGGUGAAUCAGAAAAAGCCUAACUGUUUGUAUACGGCUGGACGAUCGGAUGGAUUUUCUGGCCACGAGCAAGCAGUUACAUGGCGUCUCAGUAGGUUCAAACGUUGUGGAAAACCCUGCACUCCUAUUACUUCUAUAAAUCAAAUCUAUGCGAAGAAGCGUUAAAUUGUGUUUAAUAUAAUAAAAACAUGAGAAAAUAAAUCAUCCCUGGAAUUAAAAGAUUAGACUUGCCUCUAUAAUCAAUAUUCAGAAUAUAUUUUUGUCACUCUAUUUGCAUUGCAUAUUGAUA